CUGUAGAAAAAAAAAAAAAGGAUCAGAUAAAAGAAUGAUCACUUAGGCGGGGAUACUCUGGCACAUCUCCACAUGCCUAAACGCUUCCCGGUGUCAGCACAUUGGCUGCUCGUCAAAGAGCAGAAAGAGAGAGCGACUGAGGGAGAAAGAUCAGAAAAAAAGACGCAAAUGAUGGGUGGCAAAGCAUCAGUGAGGGUGCUACUGUUUAUCCGCACGCUGCGUCUCCAACUGAAGAGGCUGAGAGUGACUGUGGAGGAGGAGGAAGAGGAGAGUGAGGUGCAUCAUCACUCAGCAUCCCUACAGGUUGACAAUGAGCAGAUGCAUUUCUCCCUCACAUCCAUGUUCAGGAUGUCGCCUUCAUCUGGAGCCUGAGCGUCAGCGGCUCUGCAGCGCUCUGCCUCACGACUCGUUCAAUGAUCUAACACUUUCAAUUGAUGCUGAGAAGAAGAUCUAAGUCCAAGGAAAUGUGAAAAGAGGUGAACCCGAAACAACAGAGCUGGGGAGUCAAUGAGAGGGUCUGUGCUGUGUCAAUAGAAAUUAAAGUGAAGGAAUCAGAUGCCGCAAAGAUGGAAAAUUCCACAACAAGAAGCGGACGACGUGCCAGAACAGGGAAAUGUGCGUAUAAACUUCCACAUGACUGCUGCGCGUCUACAGCUCAAUCACAGUUUCUGCUAAAGGCUGCAUGAAGGACUGUAACCUAAUCUUCCAAAUGAAACCAACGCGGCCGUCUCAGAGGGAAUACGUCUGAAACCAGGGUUUUUUUUACAGUGUGGAAACUGAGAAGACGCACCGAAAUACCUCCUGAUUGUGUGUAUGUGUGUGUAGCAGAAAAGGGCAGAAAGUGCAUCAAUAAAGACAGAAUUAGUGCAUCCUGCUGAUUCUGAAACUGCCUAA
Eleginops maclovinus (Patagonian blennie) is the source of this 894-nucleotide long non-coding RNA. RefSeq lists it as uncharacterized. The record is from RefSeq and is a predicted model, not a curated record. The transcript is spliced from 3 exons. NCBI's taxonomy places the organism in Eukaryota, Metazoa, Chordata, Actinopteri, Perciformes, Eleginopidae.